GAUGAAGAACGUAGCGAAAUGCGAUACUUGGUGUGAAUUGCAGAAUCCCGUGAACCAUCGAGUCUUUGAACGCAAGUUGCGCCCGAAGCCAUUAGGCCGAGGGCACGCCUGCUUGGGUGUCACACGUCGUUGCCCCCCCAUCUACUCCUUCGGGAUUGCGGGGGGCGGAUGAUGGCCUCCCGUGCGCCUCGUCGCGCGGUUGGCAUAAAUGCCAAGUCCUCGGCGACGCACGCCACGACAAUCGGUGGUUGCGAAACCUCGGUUGCCCGUCGUGUGCGGUCGUCGCGCAUCGAGGGCUCGAAAAAAUUGCCGGGCUCCGGCUCGGCUUUCAACGCGACCCCAGGUCAGGCGGGGUUACCCGCUGAAUUUAAGCAUAUCAAUAAGCGGAGGA
This 391-nucleotide unclassified non-coding RNA is filed under the name soil metagenome. RNAcentral's name for it is "partial contains 5.8S ribosomal RNA, internal transcribed spacer 2, and large subunit ribosomal RNA". The stretch from base 1 to 122 matches the Rfam family "5.8S ribosomal RNA", at positions 35 to 154 of the family's 154-position model. The record is from RNAcentral.